GGGCGAGCGAUCUACCUGCAGUCGAGCGGACUCUUCGGAGUUAGUGGCGGACGGGUGAGUAACACGUGAGAAUCUGGCUCUAGGUCGGGGACAACAGUUGGAAACGACUGCCAAUACCGGAUGUGCCGUAAGGUAAAAGAUUUAUUGCCUGGAGAUGAGCUCGCGUCUGAUUAGCUAGUUGGUGGGGUAAAGGCUUACCAAGGCGACGAUCAGUAGCUGGUCUGAGAGGACGAUCAGCCACACUGGGACUGAGACACGGCCCAGACUCCUACGGGAGGCAGCAGUGGGGAAUUUUCCGCAAUGGGCGAAAGCCUGACGGAGCGGUACCGCGUGAGGGAGGAAGGCUCUUGGGUUGUAAACCUCUUUUCUCAAGGAAGAACACAAUGACGGUACUUGAGGAAUAAGCAUCGGCUAACUCCGUGCCAGCAGCCGCGGUAAUACGGAGGAUGCAAGCGUUAUCCGGAAUGAUUGGGCGUAAAGCGUCCGCAGGUGGUAUUGUAAGUCUGCUGUUAAAGCGUGAGGCUCAACCUCAUAAUGGCGGUGGAAACUACAAAACUAGAGUACGUUCGGGGCAGAGGGAAUUCCUGGUGUAGCGGUGAAAUGCGUAGAUAUCAGGAAGAACACCGGUGGCGAAAGCGCUCUGCUAGGCCGUAACUGACACUGAGGGACGAAAGCUAGGGGAGCGAAUGGGAUUAGAUACCCCAGUAGUCCUAGCCGUAAACGAUGGAUACUAGGCGUUGCUUGUAUCGACCCGAGCAGUGCCGUAGCUAACGCGUUAAGUAUCCCGCCUGGGGAGUACGCACGCAAGUGUGAAACUCAAAGGAAUUGACGGGGGCCCGC
RNAcentral lists this ribosomal RNA (840 nucleotides) under uncultured marine bacterium. RNAcentral describes it as "bacterial SSU rRNA". It matches the Rfam family "Bacterial small subunit ribosomal RNA", at positions 40 to 924 of the family's 1533-position model. The record is from RNAcentral.